UACGUAGGGUGCAAGCGUUAAUCGGAAUUACUGGGCGUAAAGCGUGCGCAGGCGGCUUUGCAAGACAGAUGUGAAAUCCCCGGGCUUAACCUGGGAACUGCAUUUGUGACUGCAUGGCUGGAGUGCGGCAGAGGGGGAUGGAAUUCCGCGUGUAGCAGUGAAAUGUGUAGAGAUGCGGAGGAACACCGAUGGCGAAGGCAGCCCCCUGGGCCAACACUGACGCUCAGGCACGAAAGCGUGGGGAGCAAACAGG
This 253-nucleotide ribosomal RNA is filed under the name uncultured bacterium. Its description in RNAcentral is "partial 16S ribosomal RNA". It matches the Rfam family "Bacterial small subunit ribosomal RNA", at positions 524 to 776 of the family's 1533-position model. The record is from RNAcentral.